Molecule: non-coding RNA, 1417 nt
Organism: Leptonychotes weddellii (Weddell seal)
Lineage: Eukaryota; Metazoa; Chordata; Mammalia; Carnivora; Phocidae
Source: RefSeq, a predicted model, not a curated record
CCAACCCCACCAACAUGCUCCCUUCUCCAAAUUUAGGGUGGGGGGAGGAAGCGGCAGGGCCCUCAGAAGCCAGAGAACUGAGAUCCGGAGGGGGGGUGGGGUGCAGGAGGCUCCAUUCAAGCAGCUAACAGGAGCGGGUCCUGAAGAGCUAGAGGGAGACCCAGAAGCCCCCACUCCUGUCCCCAGGCUGACAUCCUGGCUGGAGGGUCCCACUCUUUCCUUGAUCAGAGAUCGCUGGGCGCCCAGGAGGCGGUCCCCAGGGACUCCCCGUGCAGCCGCGGCUCAAUCCCCAACAUCCCCCCCCCAUUCUCCCUCCCUCUCCUGCUUUCCAGAAGGGGGACCAGUGGACUGAAUCCCAGCUGCCGGCCGCGCUGGGAAAGGCCUGGAGACCGAUUCCCGGCUUCCGGAGAGCCCCAGGGCCCCCGCCGAGCCCCUCCCCAGCCCGCGGCGGCCGCCUGAGCAUUUAAGGCUCCGGGCUCCAGGCCCCUGCCCUGGCCGGCUUGGCAUUGCCUCUGGCUGAAGACUGAUGGAGAGAGAGGAGGGGUCACCAAGGUUCCGAAAAAACGAGGCUGAUGUAGUUUGCCAGUCAUCUCUGCGUCAUCAAAAUACCACCCCGGAGCCUUCUCUCAAGUCACCUGCCCAUCUGCGGCGUUUGCUGCCUCACGCGGCUCCUCCCCCACCCUGCAGAAAGGCUGCCCUGCCAGGGACAGGCCUCCACCCCCAACCCAGACCUCUAUUUGACCCUCCCGCUGAAGGAGCCGCAGCAGAUGUGAUGCUGGGGUCUCUAAGAGGCAAGAGCCCUUCCCACUCCCCAGAGCCUUCCUUCAAGAGGCCAGAAGACCCAGGUUUGGGAAGAGGGGGAGCUUGCUGUGUGGAGGGCUGCCUGCAACCAGAUCUGAUGCCCCCUCCAUGCUUCUCCUCCCCCCAGGUGAGGGGAAACUGAGUCCCAGCUAGGCUCAUGGAAUGAAGAGGGCACAAACAGAAUUUUCAAGGUCUGGACGUGCACAAGUGUGAAAACCUUGGGCCUCUGAAUUCAGCCCCCUCCCUUUCCCGCUAGUCGGGCCUUGCGGGAUCCCGCUUGGGUUUGAAGGGGCAGUCCAUAAGGCGCCAUCUCCACUCCCCGGGACGGGUACCUCUGGGUCUGUGGCACCGGGCCCAGGGUUCUUCCCUCAAAGCUGCCGGCUCUGCGAGGCGGGGGGUGUGCGAGGCUCGGGGGCAGUGCCGGGCCGGCCGCAGCCGCAGUGGUGCAAUCGUUCUGGGAAGCGACCGUGGCCGGCCAGGGUCUCUGUGGCAGGGGUCGGGCGGGGCGGAGGAGGCGGAGGCGGGAAGAGGAGCCUGCACGGGAGGCCCCGGUCUGAGGCUCCUCCGCCCCGCGGUCCGCCAGGGCCGCACCGGCUGCUAGGGGCUGCGCGGGGGC